GGUUAAGUCCCGCAACGAGCGCAACCCUUAAGCUUAGUUGCCAUCAUUAAGUUGGGCACUCUAAGUUGACUGCCGGUGACAAACCGGAGGAAGGUGGGGAUGACGUCAAAUCAUCAUGCCCCUUAUGAUUUGGGCUACACACGUGCUACAAUGGACAAUACAAAGGGCAGCGAAACCGCGAGGUCAAGCAAAUCCCAUAAAGUUGUUCUCAGUUCGGAUUGUAGUCUGCAACUCGACUACAUGAAGCUGGAAUCGCUAGUAAUCGUAGAUCAGCAUGCUACGGUGAAUACGUUCCCGGGUCUUGUACACACCGCCCGUCACACCACGAGAGUUUGUAACACCCGAAGCCGGUGGAGU
RNAcentral lists this ribosomal RNA (357 nucleotides) under Staphylococcus aureus. Its description in RNAcentral is "bacterial SSU rRNA". It matches the Rfam family "Bacterial small subunit ribosomal RNA", at positions 1078 to 1436 of the family's 1533-position model. Lineage: Bacteria; Bacillati; Bacillota; Bacilli; Caryophanales; Staphylococcaceae. The record is from RNAcentral.